CAGAAAGUGGCAUAUUCCAAUCAAAAAGUGCAGUUUUUUUUGGCGUACCCAACGUAGGUACUACAUGAUCUACUCGAGCGAGUAGAUCACUCAGCGGUAUAAUCAACGGGGCUAUCCGGGACUGCAUCAUAGGCACAUGCACAUAAUGCACUCUAAAAGCCUAGGAAUAAUAAUAAUAUAAUAAUAGGCAUUUAUUGAGCUAAACAUGAUAUUAAGUACAUAUUCUAAUUAAUAGACAAAAAGCAUGUUAGCUCAAAGGGGCUUUUAAUACUCGACCACAAAUGGCAGAAUUGCAUAAUUUGGGUUUGUGCCAAACUUUAAGUGACUCAUAAGCAGUUUCAAGUACUCCGCUGUCUAUCCAUAAGUAAGGUGUACAUUGCUUUUUAAAAGAUUUAAGAGAAGAAAACUUUGAAUCAGUGAAAACGUUGUAAUAGGAAUUAUAAAUUUUUGAAGCAUUAUAAGUGAAACAUCUUUGAAAAAUACUGGUAUUAUGACUUGGUAAAAAAGUGAAGUUUUUUUUCUAAUAUUGACAUUAUCCAUGUCCUUUCUAAAUUUAAUUUUGCUGUAUAGGUAAGCUGGUGUUUUCGGGGAAAUGAUGUUGUAUAAGACGCAUGCUGCGUGUAACACUCUACGAUUUGACAUGUUAAGCCAUUUAACCUCACUUAACUUAUUACUAACAUGAUCAUAUCUUUUUAGACCAAAGAUAAGCCUAAGACAAGAGUUUUGCAUGCGUUGCACUCGUUUGACGUCACUUGCGUCAAGCAUUACCUUUGACUUUUAGUCGAAAUCGAUCGCCGUCAGAAAUAAUAAUAAAAACUGUUUGAGUCGCAAUUUUACUUUUUACAUUACCUUAAUUGCGAUUGAGGCUGUGCCUUAAAUUAAAGAUCAUUUUUAGAUUAAGGUAGGCUUUCCGAAGGAGUCCUGACACGUGACUUUUAAAACGAAAUUGAUUAUCUACCACAACACCUAGAUUUCUGACACUGUACUCUACUGGAAGCAAACUGUCCUUAAUUUGUAUUGCAACUUGCGAGAUGUUAUUGUUUCGGAUUUUGUUUCCACCAAAAUAACAUGACACUGCACUUGUUAAUAUUAAGUAUUAGACCGUGCAUUUCAGAAGUGCCUACUAAACUUUGCAAAUCAGAAUUUAUAAGGCUAUUCGCAUCCUCAAUUUUAUGAGCUGGAAACGUAUAAAAUAACUGCGUGUCAUCCGCAUACAGGUGAUACAUACAAUGUUUAAGACAAUCUUGUAUUUUGCUGGUAUAGAUGAUGUACAACAAUGGUCCUAAGACAGAUCCCUGUGGUACACCCGCCAUAACAGAAAGAGAGGUAGACACAUUUCCAUCAAGCCUGGCACACUGAGUGCGGUUGGAUAUAUAACUUUCAAUCAGGUGCACAGCCGAAAUGCUGAAACUAUUGUAAUUGAGGAUGGAUGUAAGCAAUUUGUGAGAAAUUCUAUCGAAUGCUUUUGAAUAAUCUAAUAUCAGCAUAGUUAAGUAAUUUUUGUCAAUCGCAAAUAAGAUAGUAUAGGUUACAAAUGCAGGUGCCGUAUUACAGCUAUGCCCCGGACGAAAACCUGACUGCAUCGGUGCGGUAACAUUUGCUCACUGUUUAAGAAGUGUUGUAUUUGUGAAGCAAUGACCUUUUCAAGAACUUGUCAAAAGCAGGGAAGAAUACUAAUUGGCCGUAGGUCCGGAUAUCUGCCAGGGGUUUUACCAUAGCCCAACAACAAAGCACGGUCAGCACGAUGACCUGCAUAAUACACUUACCACCUACACGUGGGAUUGGGGAUUAUGCUGAUCGGUCUGUAAUUAUUAAUCUCAGACUGAUGACCUGACUUGAAUACGGGACAUAUCCUAGCUAUCUUCCAUGCUGUUGGAAAGGUGGACGUAUUGGUUGAUAAAUUAAACAGAAUACAAAGAGGUAUUCUGAACACCAUGGCACAACCUGAUCAUGACCUGAUGGGUAUUUAUUAGGUAAUUUCUUAAUAGCUGUAUAGACCUCAUCUGUAGUAAUUCUAGUAAUAAUUGUAAUAUUGGGCAUGUUGGUAACCUUUGGACUGUUAUCAUUUAUCGUUUGUGACGGUAAAUAAACACUUUUGAAAUAAUCUCCAAAUGUGUUACCAAUACGCUCUGGUGUACACAUUGAAGUAGCACCCAUAGACAUUAUUCUGUUAGGUAUUCUUGUAUUACCUCGUUUUGAGUUAAUAAAAGACCAGAAAUUCGUCACAUUCUCAGUUAUAGCAUUUUCUGAAAAUGUUAUAUAAUCACUAUAAGCAUAUACGAAUUUUAGAUUUUACUACUCUUCUAAGACGUUUAAAUUCAAACAAGUCUGCACUAUUAUUAAACCGUUUAACUCUUUUAAAACACCGGUUUUUUAGUCUGAUGUAGGUAAUAUAUAUAAUUUCCGAAGAAAACCAUUUUGGGUAAUUACCUAGGUACGUUUUCUGCUGCUACAAUGGGGAACAUACAUAUCAAAUAUGGAAUACAGCUCCAAUGUUAACAUUGUUGUAUUGUUCAAAAAAGUCCCAAUUGAUGUUUAAAAGAGAACUGUACAAACCAAUAAAGUUAGCUCUUUUAAAAUUAUAGUUUCUUUGAACUUUGUUUACAUGGAAAUUUGAGUUAGGUAUCGCCUCCUGAAAGCAUACCUCAAUCGACAGCGCCGGGUGGUGAAGAUCCUCUUUUACAUAUGGCAUUUCCUCGUGAACAACUUCGCACGCUAUGUUACUAAUCAUAAUCACUAAAUCAAGUAUUCUCUUAUAUCAUUCAAAACCGUAUUAAACUGUCCCACGCACAGAAUAUUUAUAAAAUCAUCAUUAAGCGGGAUUUCGUAUCGUUAAUAACCGUGAGAAACUUUGGUACAUUGAAGUCUCCAAGUAUUAGAACGUCAUUAAACCAUUUGUUCAAAUAUUUCCAAAAAAGACUGGAAGUCCGUUAUCGGUGUAUCUGGAGGUAUAUAAAUCACAAAAAUAUGCACAGUUUGCACGUUGAAUAAUCAUUUACAACCGCUAAUGUCAAUGUUUGGUAAGAUGUUUUUUAAAACUGUUAUGUCAAUUGUAUAGCAGCUAAUAUCACCCUUGAGAGCAAGUAAAGCACCUCCACCCCAUAUUUUUUGUCAACCACUGUAAAGUUUCGGUCAAAGCAAAAAACUUGAUAGUUUGUUGGAAACGGUUCAUCACUAGAAAUGUCAGGAGAAUUGUUUAAUUAUCUUUAUUCCUGUAUUUACAUAUCUAACUUAAAUUGUCUAGCCUCAUUCACGCUUCGAUUAUUACUACCCGCUCUACUUUCCUCAGUUGUUCCUCAAUCAAUCACCUGUCCCCCGCCUUAACAUAAAUUUACAUAUUCUACAGACUACAAUAAUUCUUAUCUAUCUUCCACUACAAGUUGGAACAUUUGUAGAUAUGCUCUUAACAAUUUCUACUACCUUGUUGGGAUCAACCAGAUUCAUCAGAUUCAGAUGCCCUUUCAACAUUAAAUAUGAUUAAGUUAGAAGUUCUAUUUUGUCUCUCUUAUUGCUAAUAUUGUCUCAGAUAGCUCAGCCACUGGUUGAUGGCCUGCAGAUGGUUGAGUUGCCUUGUUCUUCAGGUCGUCUAUCUCAGCCCGCAAUUGCAGAAUUUUUUAAUUCGCCUAACUCAUCUGAUUUAUUCUUACACGCAGAACAUGCGAUUCUUAUUCAAUAAACAUUGCAACUCACUACGUGAUAAACCAGAGCAUGUGGUAACUUACAAAAAUCACAUGAAAGUUCUUUAUCGGGAUUUAAUAAUUGUUGGACAGAAACACUACAUUCACUCACUGGCAUUUUAGGCUUCUUUCAAGUAAAUUCAAUUGAUUCACUAUGAACAAAUGAGACACGUCCGCUCUGUUUAACGUCUAACCACUAAUCGUUCAUUGUUUACAUUCGUCAUGUUUUGUUUUCAACUACUGUUUUGAAAAUUGAAUAAUCUCAUUUAUAAAAGGAAAAAUUCUCAAUGGAAAAAUAUCAAAUUACAUUAAUUUGACAUUAUUCUCAUUGGAAAAAUAUCAAAUUACAAUAAUUUGAUGGCCAUAAGAAAAACAUAACACAGGGGACACAUAGUAAGUAAAAAUUGUUUGUAAAUUUUUGUAAAACCCAUUAUGUGCCCUGCAACAAAUUUUUCGUUUUUAAAUUCUGCUUCUGCGAUUUAUGAUCGCCAUAGGCGGUACAAGCUGUAAAAUGAAAGAUCACAAACAAUGUACCUACUUGCAGUUUGUAUAAUAUCAACAAUUACCAUACUUCUGUUAUGUUUUUGUGAAACAAUUUUGAAUUAUGGGUACUGUAACUGUUAUGACCGUGUUCGUUAGAGCGUUACUCUGCAGUAGUAGAGAAAUUUGAGGCUAAACGCUAAAAAUGGCUAAACCUUACGUAACGAGACUGCUGCUACAAAUCGGUUGCAGUCGGAUGAAUUGUGAAUAGGUUUACAGAAAAUAACCGAAAUAUGGGUUUUGGAAAAUGACUGUGCCGGCCCUGACAGUAUAGGUAAAUAAAUGUUGAAGCGUACAACUUAUAUUAAUCAAUUUGACGAAUUGGAUAUGAAUAUGCUGUUUCGUUGCAGCAUUAUUUACUCUUUAUACAACCCUUCGUACUCGUACUAACCUGUUUCGCCCAUCCCGAGUUCCCGCCGUGCAUCAAAUCACCCACGACUUGCAAGUUGAUGAAUUACACGACCACAACUGUACAAUCACCGUCUACGUCGAAAAAACUUCGGUAAUUGGCUUCGUUUCGGAAUGGAUUAAUACCUAUACAUUUAUCUCACAAAAUCAAGAGCGCCUAUAUUUGUACCUGAUUCUUAGUGUAACGGCGGCUGUAGUGCUAUGUUUAAUUCUCCUCGUCGGUAGGCUAUUAGUACAACGGCAGCAUGCAAGACGAGAAGCCAAAUUUCACGCAAACGCCGCAGCUGACCAUUCGUUACCAAAUUGUUUUACUGACGAUAUUAGUGAAAUAGACGUGGACAUUGAUUUGCCUCCCACUAAUCCAGUACCCGUACCAAAUGUUGCAGUUCAUACAUCCACCCCAAUGGAAACUGUUGCCGAAGUCGUUAGAUAUCCACACAUAUACACUCACACGUUGCGGAGGCAACCUGAGACUGACGCUCCACGUAGCCUCAGCAGUACCUCAAACACUCAAUAUUACUACGAGUGACUAGAAUGCCUGGACCGCAGAUCGGUUGCUCAAACCUUGCUACCUACUUCUGCGUGCCCAGGCCAUCGUACUUAUUGUUUUUAGAGACACUUGGUGCCAGAAAUAGUGAACCAGACCAAAGAUUCAAAUCUCCAAAUCUUUUGUAAGAAUCCUUUAUUAAUGUUAUUAUUAAUGUAUUGAUCCUAUGUAAUAAUUAACUUUUUUUUAUAACAACAAAAUGAUCAAAUUAAAUUACACCUCUCUGUAGUUAUUUAGUAGAUAUGGAAAUAUACCUUUAUGUUGAUUCA
Long non-coding RNA from Photinus pyralis (common eastern firefly), 5441 nucleotides. RefSeq lists it as uncharacterized. The record is from RefSeq and is a predicted model, not a curated record. Lineage: Eukaryota; Metazoa; Arthropoda; Insecta; Coleoptera; Lampyridae. The transcript has 2 exons.